UGGCGGCCGCGGGAAUUCGAUUAGAGUUUGAUCAUGGCUCAGAUUGAACGCUGGCGGAAUGCUUUACACAUGCAAGUCGAACGGUAGAGGGGGCAACCCCUCGAGAGUGGCGAACGGGUGAGUAAUAUAUCGGAACGUGCCCAGUCGUGGGGGAUAACGUAGCGAAAGUUACGCUAAUACCGCAUACGAUCUACGGAUGAAAGCGGGGGAUCGCAAGACCUCGCGCGAUUGGAGCGGCCGAUAUCAGAUUAGGUAGUUGGUGGGGUAAAGGCUCACCAAGCCAACGAUCUGUAGCUGGUCUGAGAGGACGACCAGCCACACUGGAACUGAGACACGGUCCAGACUCCUACGGGAGGCAGCAGUGGGGAAUUUUGGACAAUGGACCCAAGUUUGAUUCAGCCAUUCCGCGUGCAGGAUGAAGGCCCUCGGGUUGUAAACUGGUUUUGUACGGAACGAAAAGGUUUCAUUAUACUGGGAGCU
Molecule: ribosomal RNA, 480 nt
Filed under: uncultured bacterium
Lineage: Bacteria
Description: partial 16S ribosomal RNA
Rfam family: Bacterial small subunit ribosomal RNA
Source: RNAcentral